AGCUCCUGAGAAGGAUGGGUCCCCACUAUCUGUCUGUGGGCCCUUCUCCUCCCCUCUUUCCUAAGCAGGUGAAGGGAGUUGAACCGCCAGUCCUCUGGCAGGAAGACAGUGAAAGGAAACUUUUCCUAGAACUGUGAGUAACAGAGCUGCUGAAAAUGAGGCUUGGCUUUACAGGGCACAUACUGGAAAUGAAGGCUAUUAAUAGGUUCCUGCAGGACCGCUGCCACGCUGAAACCAGCUCCCAGGCGGCCAGCCUCGCCCAGCGGCGGCCAUGGGGAGACCCCAGCUCGUCGAGGGCGUUCUUGGGAUGCCAAGACUCAGGACCCCGCAUGCCACCCAUCUCCUUCCUCUGCUCCCCGGUGUCACCUGUCUCACAAAACAACCAGAAAUCCCUCAAAUAAAACAGAUUCUGU
Molecule: long non-coding RNA, 413 nt
Filed under: Aotus nancymaae (Ma's night monkey)
Lineage: Eukaryota; Metazoa; Chordata; Mammalia; Primates; Aotidae
Description: lncRNA (ENSANAG00000039269.1)
Source: RNAcentral